This 75-nucleotide transfer RNA is filed under the name Caudoviricetes sp. RNAcentral describes it as "tRNA-Pro". It matches the Rfam family "tRNA". From Rfam's summary of the family: Transfer RNA (tRNA) molecules are approximately 80 nucleotides in length. Their secondary structure includes four short double-helical elements and three loops (D, anti-codon, and T loops). Further hydrogen bonds mediate the characteristic L-shaped molecular structure. tRNAs have two regions of fundamental functional importance: the anti-codon, which is responsible for specific mRNA codon recognition, and the 3' end, to which the tRNAs corresponding amino acid is attached (by aminoacyl-tRNA synthetases). tRNAs cope with the degeneracy of the genetic code in two manners: having more than one tRNA (with a specific anti-codon) for a particular amino acid; and 'wobble' base-pairing, i.e. permitting non-standard base-pairing at the 3rd anti-codon position. The record is from RNAcentral. Lineage: Duplodnaviria; Heunggongvirae; Uroviricota; Caudoviricetes.
AAGAACGUAGCUUAAUUGGAAAGGGCGCAGUCGGGUGGUGGACUGAGGGUGUAGGUUCGAGUCCUACCGUUCUUA